Molecule: long non-coding RNA, 452 nt
Organism: Erinaceus europaeus (western European hedgehog)
Lineage: Eukaryota; Metazoa; Chordata; Mammalia; Eulipotyphla; Erinaceidae
Exons: 3
Source: RefSeq, a predicted model, not a curated record
GCCAGGCAUUCCUGGGGAGUUCCGUCACUUUCAAGUGGGAAAGCUGGAAGAUGGGGCUCAUUUCUCUGUAACUUGGUCUCCUUGGCAGGGCUUCCUCAGAAUGUUGUGACAGCGGCGAAACGCCACGCAGUUGUUAGUGUCCUGAGAACGCUUCACUCGGACUGACCUGCUUCCCCUUCUCCUCCACCCUGAACUCCUGCUCCUGCUCAGACAGCAAGUAUAAAAUGAGAAACAAAAGACCACAAGGCCUCCACCUGGUGGUGCUGGUCAGAACCGGAGGAGAAGUGGACCCAGAGUUCUUGGAGCCCUUGGGACCUGACUGUGACGUUCUUCCAGGCAUUAAAAUAGAGUCGGGGACAGACUUGUUAAGUCAUGCAGCCUGGUCAUCGGAUCCCCACGGCCAUUCCCUGGAGUAUUUCUGGUGCCCUGACUCGCCUGGGUUUGAAUCAUAA